AGAGUUUGAUCAUGGCUCAGGUUGAACGCUGGCGGCGUGCCUAACACAUGCAAGUCGUCGGUAACAGGCGUAGCAAUACGUGCUGACGAGCGGCGAACGGGUGCGUAAUACAUGGGCAUCUGCCCUUUAGUGGGGAAUAGCCCGGCGAAAGCCGGGCUAACGCCGCAUAAGAUCUCCGGAUGAAAGCGGGGGACCGUAAGGCCUCGCGCUGGUGGAUGAGCCCAUGUCGGAUUAGCUAGUUGGUGAGGUAAUGGCUCACCAAGGCGACGAUCCGUAGCUGGUCUGAGAGGACGGCCAGCCACACUGGGACUGAGACACGGCCCAGACUCCUACGGGAGGCAGCAGUGGGGAAUAUUGGNCAACGGGGGAAACCCUGAU
RNAcentral lists this ribosomal RNA (378 nucleotides) under uncultured Gammaproteobacteria bacterium. RNAcentral's name for it is "bacterial SSU rRNA". It matches the Rfam family "Bacterial small subunit ribosomal RNA", at positions 8 to 387 of the family's 1533-position model. Lineage: Bacteria; Pseudomonadati; Pseudomonadota; Gammaproteobacteria. The record is from RNAcentral.